CAGACCUCUGAUCAGG
RNAcentral lists this ribosomal RNA (16 nucleotides) under Bryoerythrophyllum bolivianum. RNAcentral describes it as "partial 26S ribosomal RNA". Lineage: Eukaryota; Viridiplantae; Streptophyta; Bryopsida; Pottiales; Pottiaceae. The record is from RNAcentral.